This 497-nucleotide ribosomal RNA is filed under the name uncultured bacterium. Its description in RNAcentral is "partial 16S ribosomal RNA". It matches the Rfam family "Bacterial small subunit ribosomal RNA", at positions 28 to 507 of the family's 1533-position model. The record is from RNAcentral.
GAUGAACGCUGGCGGCGUGCCUAAUACAUGCAAGUCGAGCGAACGGACGAGAAGCUUGCUUUUCUGAUGUUAGCGGCGGACGGGUGAGUAACACGUGGAUAACCUACCUAUAAGACUGGGAUAACUUCGGGAAACCGGAGCUAAUACCGGAUAAUAUUUUGAACCGCAUGGUUCAAAAGUGAAAGACGGUCUUGCUGUCACUUCUAGAUGGAUCCGCGCUGCAUUAGCUAGUUGGUAAGGUAACGGCUUACCAAGGCAACGAUGCGUAGCCGACCUGUGAGGGUGAUCGGCCACACGGGAGCGUAGACACGGUCCAUACUCCUACGGGAGGCAGCAGUAGGGAAUCUUCCGCAGAGGGCGAAAGCCUUACGGAGCAACGCCGCGUGAGUGAUGAAGGUCUUCGGAUCGUAAAACUCUGUUAUUAGUGAAGAACAUAUGUGUAAGUAACUGUGCACAUCUUGACGGUACCUAAUCAGAAAGCCACGGCUAACUACGUG